RNAcentral lists this ribosomal RNA (926 nucleotides) under Vibrio sp. R2B1. RNAcentral describes it as "bacterial SSU rRNA". It matches the Rfam family "Bacterial small subunit ribosomal RNA", at positions 82 to 1004 of the family's 1533-position model. The record is from RNAcentral. Lineage: Bacteria; Pseudomonadati; Pseudomonadota; Gammaproteobacteria; Vibrionales; Vibrionaceae.
GAUACGGCGUCGAGCGGCGGACGGGUGAGUAAUGCCUAGGAAAUUGCCCUGGUGUGGGGGAUAACCAUUGGAAACGAUGGCUAAUACCGCAUAAUACCUACGGGUCAAAGAGGGGGACCUUCGGGCCUCUCGCGUCAGGAUAUGCCUAGGUGGGAUUAGCUAGUUGGUGAGGUAAUGGCUCACCAAGGCGACGAUCCCUAGCUGGUCUGAGAGGAUGAUCAGCCACACUGGAACUGAGACACGGUCCAGACUCCUACGGGAGGCAGCAGUGGGGAAUAUUGCACAAUGGGCGCAAGCCUGAUGCAGCCAUGCCGCGUGUGUGAAGAAGGCCUUCGGGUUGUAAAGCACUUUCAGUCGUGAGGAAGGUAGUGUAGUUAAUAGCUGCAUUAUUUGACGUUAGCGACAGAAGAAGCACCGGCUAACUCCGUGCCAGCAGCCGCGGUAAUACGGAGGGUGCGAGCGUUAAUCGGAAUUACUGGGCGUAAAGCGCAUGCAGGUGGUUUGUUAAGUCAGAUGUGAAAGCCCGGGGCUCAACCUCGGAAUAGCAUUUGAAACUGGCAGACUAGAGUACUGUAGAGGGGGGUAGAAUUUCAGGUGUAGCGGUGAAAUGCGUAGAGAUCUGAAGGAAUACCGGUGGCGAAGGCGGCCCCCUGGACAGAUACUGACACUCAGAUGCGAAAGCGUGGGGAGCAAACAGGAUUAGAUACCCUGGUAGUCCACGCCGUAAACGAUGUCUACUUGGAGGUUGUGGCCUUGAGCCGUGGCUUUCGGAGCUAACGCGUUAAGUAGACCGCCUGGGGAGUACGGUCGCAAGAUUAAAACUCAAAUGAAUUGACGGGGGCCCGCACAAGCGGUGGAGCAUGUGGUUUAAUUCGAUGCAACGCGAAGAACCUUACCUACUCUUGACAUCCAGAGAACUUUCCAGA